CAUUCAAGCUGGAGUACACUGUGAAGACCGUGAAGUAUGGUGGAGCAAGCAUCAUGAUAUGGGGAUGUUUCUCAUACUAUGGUGUCGAGCCCAUUUAUCACAUA
This is a long non-coding RNA of Thalassophryne amazonica, 104 nucleotides long. RefSeq lists it as uncharacterized. The transcript has 3 exons. NCBI's taxonomy places the organism in Eukaryota, Metazoa, Chordata, Actinopteri, Batrachoidiformes, Batrachoididae. The record is from RefSeq and is a predicted model, not a curated record.